RNAcentral lists this ribosomal RNA (2925 nucleotides) under Escherichia coli. RNAcentral's name for it is "23S ribosomal RNA". It matches the Rfam family "Bacterial large subunit ribosomal RNA". The record is from RNAcentral. Lineage: Bacteria; Pseudomonadati; Pseudomonadota; Gammaproteobacteria; Enterobacterales; Enterobacteriaceae.
GGGUUGUGAGGUUAAGCGACUAAGCGUACACGGUGGAUGCCCUGGCAGUCAGAGGCGAUGAAGGACGUGCUAAUCUGCGAUAAGCGUCGGUAAGGUGAUAUGAACCGUUAUAACCGGCGAUUUCCGAAUGGGGAAACCCAGUGUGAUUCGUCACACUAUCAUUAACUGAAUCCAUAGGUUAAUGAGGCGAACCGGGGGAACUGAAACAUCUAAGUACCCCGAGGAAAAGAAAUCAACCGAGAUUCCCCCAGUAGCGGCGAGCGAACGGGGAGGAGCCCAGAGCCUGAAUCAGUGUGUGUGUUAGUGGAAGCGUCUGGAAAGGCGCGCGAUACAGGGUGACAGCCCCGUACACAAAAAUGCACAUACUGUGAGCUCGAUGAGUAGGGCGGGACACGUGGUAUCCUGUCUGAAUAUGGGGGGACCAUCCUCCAAGGCUAAAUACUCCUGACUGACCGAUAGUGAACCAGUACCGUGAGGGAAAGGCGAAAAGAACCCCGGCGAGGGGAGUGAAAAAGAACCUGAAACCGUGUACGUACAAGCAGUGGGAGCCUCUUUAUGGGGUGACUGCGUACCUUUUGUAUAAUGGGUCAGCGACUUAUAUUCUGUAGCAAGGUUAACCGAAUAGGGGAGCCGAAGGGAAACCGAGUCUUAACUGGGCGUUAAGUUGCAGGGUAUAGACCCGAAACCCGGUGAUCUAGCCAUGGGCAGGUUGAAGGUUGGGUAACACUAACUGGAGGACCGAACCGACUAAUGUUGAAAAAUUAGCGGAUGACUUGUGGCUGGGGGUGAAAGGCCAAUCAAACCGGGAGAUAGCUGGUUCUCCCCGAAAGCUAUUUAGGUAGCGCCUCGUGAAUUCAUCUCCGGGGGUAGAGCACUGUUUCGGCAAGGGGGUCAUCCCGACUUACCAACCCGAUGCAAACUGCGAAUACCGGAGAAUGUUAUCACGGGAGACACACGGCGGGUGCUAACGUCCGUCGUGAAGAGGGAAACAACCCAGACCGCCAGCUAAGGUCCCAAAGUCAUGGUUAAGUGGGAAACGAUGUGGGAAGGCCCAGACAGCCAGGAUGUUGGCUUAGAAGCAGCCAUCAUUUAAAGAAAGCGUAAUAGCUCACUGGUCGAGUCGGCCUGCGCGGAAGAUGUAACGGGGCUAAACCAUGCACCGAAGCUGCGGCAGCGACACUAUGUGUUGUUGGGUAGGGGAGCGUUCUGUAAGCCUGUGAAGGUGUACUGUGAGGUAUGCUGGAGGUAUCAGAAGUGCGAAUGCUGACAUAAGUAACGAUAAAGCGGGUGAAAAGCCCGCUCGCCGGAAGACCAAGGGUUCCUGUCCAACGUUAAUCGGGGCAGGGUGAGUCGACCCCUAAGGCGAGGCCGAAAGGCGUAGUCGAUGGGAAACAGGUUAAUAUUCCUGUACUUGGUGUUACUGCGAAGGGGGGACGGAGAAGGCUAUGUUGGCCGGGCGACGGUUGUCCCGGUUUAAGCGUGUAGGCUGAUUUUCCAGGCAAAUCCGGAAAAUCAAGGCUGAGGCGUGAUGACGAGGCACUACGGUGCUGAAGCAACAAAUGCCCUGCUUCCAGGAAAAGCCUCUAAGCAUCAGGUAACAUCAAAUCGUACCCCAAACCGACACAGGUGGUCAGGUAGAGAAUACCAAGGCGCUUGAGAGAACUCGGGUGAAGGAACUAGGCAAAAUGGUGCCGUAACUUCGGGAGAAGGCACGCUGAUAUGUAGGUGAAGCGACUUGCUCGUGGAGCUGAAAUCAGUCGAAGAUACCAGCUGGCUGCAACUGUUUAUUAAAAACACAGCACUGUGCAAACACGAAAGUGGACGUAUACGGUGUGACGCCUGCCCGGUGCCGGAAGGUUAAUUGAUGGGGUUAGCGGUAACGCGAAGCUCUUGAUCGAAGCCCCGGUAAACGGCGGCCGUAACUAUAACGGUCCUAAGGUAGCGAAAUUCCUUGUCGGGUAAGUUCCGACCUGCACGAAUGGCGUAAUGAUGGCCAGGCUGUCUCCACCCGAGACUCAGUGAAAUUGAACUCGCUGUGAAGAUGCAGUGUACCCGCGGCAAGACGGAAAGACCCCGUGAACCUUUACUAUAGCUUGACACUGAACAUUGAGCCUUGAUGUGUAGGAUAGGUGGGAGGCUUUGAAGUGUGGACGCCAGUCUGCAUGGAGCCGACCUUGAAAUACCACCCUUUAAUGUUUGAUGUUCUAACGUUGGCCCGUKAUCCGGGUUGCGGACAGUGUCUGGUGGGUAGUUUGACUGGGGCGGUCUCCUCCUAAAGAGUAACGGAGGAGCACGAAGGUUGGCUAAUCCUGGUCGGACAUCAGGAGGUUAGUGCAAUGGCAUAAGCCAGCUUGACUGCGAGCGUGACGGCGCGAGCAGGUGCGAAAGCAGGUCAUAGUGAUCCGGUGGUUCUGAAUGGAAGGGCCAUCGCUCAACGGAUAAAAGGUACUCCGGGGAUAACAGGCUGAUACCGCCCAAGAGUUCAUAUCGACGGCGGUGUUUGGCACCUCGAUGUCGGCUCAUCACAUCCUGGGGCUGAAGUAGGUCCCAAGGGUAUGGCUGUUCGCCAUUUAAAGUGGUACGCGAGCUGGGUUUAGAACGUCGUGAGACAGUUCGGUCCCUAUCUGCCGUGGGCGCUGGAGAACUGAGGGGGGCUGCUCCUAGUACGAGAGGACCGGAGUGGACGCAUCACUGGUGUUCGGGUUGUCAUGCCAAUGGCACUGCMCGGUAGCUAAAUGCGGAAGAGAUAAGUGCUGAAAGCAUCUAAGCACGAAACUUGCCCCGAGAUGAGUUCUCCCUGACUCCUUGAGAGUCCUGAAGGAACGUUGAAGACGACGACGUUGAUAGGCCGGGUGUGUAAGCGCAGCGAUGCGUUGAGCUAACCGGUACUAAUGAACCGUGAGGCUUAACCUUACAACGCCGAAG